AUAUUUGUGAUGUAAUUGCUAACUCAUAAGAAGUAAGAAAUCAAAAUAGAUUUACUCCUCCAAUGAGUUCUGUUUAUAACAUUUGGCUUCAAAUUA
Non-coding RNA from Tauraco erythrolophus (red-crested turaco), 96 nucleotides. Lineage: Eukaryota; Metazoa; Chordata; Aves; Musophagiformes; Musophagidae. The record is from Rfam.